UAGUAAAUAAGUAAGGGCGUAUAGUGAAUGCCUUGGCGUACGGAGCCGAUGAAGGACGCAGAAAGCUUGCGAUAGGCCUCGGGGAGUUGCAUAACAAAUUUUGAUCCGAGGAUUUCCGAAUGGGGAAACCCAGCAGGGAGAAAUCUCUGUUAUCUUUACCUGAAUAUAUAGGGCAAAGAGGGUAAGCGAGGGAACUGAAACAUCUUAGUACCUCGAUGAAAGGAAAACAAAAGUGAUUCCCUUAGUAGUGGUGAGCGAAAUGGGAAGAGCCUAAACCAUUUAUGUGUAGAAGCUGGCAGGCGUUGCAUAGAUGGGGUUGUAGGGAGAUUUAAUCCUGCGCUGCUGAGCAGGUAUGGAGUCAGAAAUGAAUUGAUUAGUCGAACACUCUUGAAAGGGUGGCCAAAGAGGGUGACAGCCCCGUAGGCGAAAAUCAAUUCACUCCUAUAAAUCUUUCCUGAGUACCGCGGGACACGUGGAAUCUUGCGGGAAGCUAGGAGGACCAUCUCCUAAGGCUAAAUACUCCGGCGACCGAUAGUGAACAAAGUACCGUGAGGGAAAGGUGAAAAGAACCCCGGAAGGGGAGUGAAAUAGAACCUGAAACUAUAUGCCUACAAUCGGUAGGAGGGCUAUGAAAUGGCAACAUUUCAGCCUGACUGCCUGCCUAUUGAAGAAUGAGCCAAGGAGUUAUGGGUAGUGGCAAGGUUAAGGGGUGAUACCCGGAGCCGUAGUGAAAGCGAGCCUGAAUAGGGCGUUAGUCGCUGUCCAUAGACCCGAAACCAGGUGGUCAAUCCAUGGUCAGGAUGAAACGAGCGUAAGAACUCGUGGAGGUCCGAACCGGUUGGGGGAAAAAACUCAUCGGAUGAACUGUGGAUAGCAGAGAAAUUCUAACCGAACCUGGAGAUAGCUGGUUCUCUCCGAAAUGCAUUUAGGUGCAGCGGUAGGUAAUUCGCAAGUGGGGGUAGAGCACUGGAUGAGCUAGGGAUCCUACCAGAUUUCCAAACUCAACCAAACUCCGAAUACCAUUUGUUUUUACCCUACCAGUGAGUCGGCGGGUACUAAGAUCCGUCGUCGAGAGGGGAACAACCCAGAUCAUCUGCUAAGGUCCCUAAAAUAGACUAAGUGUUCAGAAAGGAUGUGGAAUUGCUUAGACAGCUAGGAGGUUAGCUCAGAAGCAGCUACCCUUCAAAGAGUGCGUAACAGCUCACUAGUCGAGCGGUUCUGCGCCGAAAAUGUAACGGGACUAAGUCUAUUACCGAAGCAGUGGGCUUAAGAUGUCUUCGGACGUCUUGAGCGGUAGGAGAGCGUUCCUAUUGCAGAGAAGGUAUACCGUAAGGAGUACUGGAGCGAUAGGAAGUGAGAAUCUUGGCUUAAGUAACGAAAAACAGGGUGAGAAUCCCUGUCGUCGUAAAUCUAAGGUUUCCUGGGGAAGGUUUGUCCGCCCAGGGUUAGUCGGUCCUAAGCCGAGGCCGAAAGGCGUAGGCGAUGGACAACAGGUUAAUAUUCCUGUACCAUGUAUCUUCCGCUAUCAGGAUGGGGUGGUGGAGAAGGAUAGGUUAAGCGCGGUUUUGGUUGUCUGCGUCCAAGCUCGUAGGAGGCAUCCGGAGGUAAAUCCCUGGAUGUAUUAAACUCUGAGAAGCGAUGGGGAGCCGCAAGGCGAAGUAGCUGAUUCCAUACUCACAAGAAAAACCUCUAACGAGGAAGAUAUGUGUCCGUACCGCAAUCCAACACAGGUAGAUGAGGAGAAUGCUCCUAAGACGUACGAAAGAACCCUCUUUAAGGAACUCGGCAAAAUUGCCCCGUAACUUCGGGAGAAGGGGUGCCUGGGAAGGUGAAGGUAAAUGCUUACCUUUGCGAUUCUGGGCCUCAGUAAAUAGGUUCAAGCGACUGUUUAACAAAAACACAGGUCUCUGCUAAGUCGUAAAGACGAUGUAUAGGGGCCGACGCUUGCCCAGUGCUGGAAGGUUACAGGGAGGGGUUAGCAGAUUUCGGUCUGCGAAGCUCUGAACUUAAGCCCCAGUGAACGGCGGCCGUAACUAUAACGGUUUUGAUAGUUAGCUACUUGACUAGGGCUGUUAUAAAAUUUGGCUAUAUGCUGGAACAUCUGGUUAAAUUUCAUAUUACCGAGGAGGUGAAAACAUAUGAAUACAGACAAUCAGCAGGAAAGACUACAGAUUACUGAAGAGUUUAAGUGGUUUCUGGCAGGAUUAAUUGAGGGAGAAGGAAGUCUAUGUAUAUCUCUCAAACAACAUCCUUCAGCAAGAUUUGGUUAUUAUAUUGAUCCGGAAUUUUUUAUCUAUCAACACAAAUCAGCAAGGGAACUACUUGAGAGAGCAAAAGAGUUUUUUGGGACAGGUCGUAUUUUUCCUAAGCCUGGAAAUGAAGAUGUGCUUGUUUUUAGAAUUUCAGCAAGACGAAGCAUAUUGGAAAAAGUUAUUCCUUUCUUCGAAAAAUACAUGAAAUAUAGCUCAAAAACUAAAAAGGAAAAUUUCCGUGUAUUUAAGGAAGUGACCUUAGCUCUCGAAAACGGAGAACAUAAAACGUUACAAGGUACCUUACGCAUAGUGGAACUGGUUUAUUCUACAAAUCAUGCCGGCAAACAGCGUAAGCGUAGCAAAGAAGAAGUAAUCGGUAGAAUCCUCAGAGACUAUACGCCAAACUCUGAAUCUGAUUCAGAGAAGAUAUAGUCCGAUCUUUAUGGAGACAUAAAGUUAACACAAAUACCUAAGGUAGCGAAAUACCUUGUCGGGUAAGUUCCGACGCGCAUGAAAAGCGUAACGACUUGAACGCUGUCUCAAAGAGGGAUUCGGUGAAAUAGCAGUGCCCGUGCAGAUGCGGGCUACUUGCAGCAGGACGGAAAGACCCCGUAGAGCUUUACUAUAACCUGAUAUUGAAUUUUGGCAUAUUGUGUAUAGGAUAGGUGGGAGACUUUGAACCCGGAACGCCAGUUUCGGGGGAGUCAUCCUUGGAAUACCACCCUUAAUAUGCUGAGGUUCUAACUCUAUACCCUGAAUCGGGUAGGAGGACAAUGUCAGGCGGGUAGUUUGACUGGGGCGGUCGCCUCCUAAAGAGUAACGGAGGCGCCCAAAGGUUCCCUCAGGCUGGUUGGAAAUCAGCCAUCGAGUGCAAAGGCAUAAGGGAGCUUGACUGCAUAGACUGACAGGUCGAACAGGCACGAAAGUGGGG
This 3183-nucleotide ribosomal RNA is filed under the name Caldisericota bacterium. RNAcentral's name for it is "bacterial LSU rRNA". It matches the Rfam family "Bacterial large subunit ribosomal RNA", at positions 1 to 2410 of the family's 2925-position model. Lineage: Bacteria; Pseudomonadati; Caldisericota. The record is from RNAcentral.